Molecule: long non-coding RNA, 647 nt
Filed under: Capsicum annuum
Lineage: Eukaryota; Viridiplantae; Streptophyta; Magnoliopsida; Solanales; Solanaceae
Description: long non-coding RNA (CANN_LNC020843)
Source: RNAcentral
CAAAGAGAAAAUUAGCAAACUAAUUAAUCUCGUAUAGAAAUAGAAAAUACUACUUCAUACAUACAUUAUUUAUGAGUUUAACUUAUAUACACUAACACAAUGUAAAGAAUAUGAAAGUAGUGGAAAUAUUCUUUACAAUGUUGUCUAUAUAUAUAUAUAUAUAGGUUAAACUCGUCUGAAAUACAUUAUAAUCAAAUAAAUACUGUAAUUCAAUAUUAUCACAAGGCAAGGUAGAGGUUUCAUUAUUCAACAAACUGGAGGAUACGUAGGUUAAACUCGUCUGAAAUACAUUAUAAUCAAAUAAAUACUUUAAUUCAAUAUGAUCGCAAGGCAAGGUAGAGGUUUCAUUAUUCAACUAACUGGAGGGGUUUAUCUUUUUCUUAUCAUUCUUGAAGGUGGAGGUGGUAGCUUUCACUAUCUUUUCAACAGCCAUUGCCUUCACUGACUUCUUGUCCUUCUUUGGAAACACACUGCCUUUCUUUGAUGUGCCUUCUCCUCCGUUUCCAUUUCCAUUAUUCUCCAUAUCUAUUCUUUUCUCUUGGAUUAUGAAUAUGAGGAAUUGUCGUGUAUUACUAAUUGCUUUGUUGCUUCAACUUAUGAUGUUUUGAUGAGUUCGUAUACAUAGAUAUUUAUAGGAGUUUUCAGGC